ACGGCUCAGUAACACGUGGACAACCUGCCCUUAGGUUGGGUAUAAACCCGGGAAACUGGGUAUAAUACCCGAUAGGUCUCGAUUGCUGGAAUGCAUCGAGAUUUAAAGCUCCGGCGCCUAAGGAUGGGUCUGCGGCCUAUCAGGUAGUAGUGGGUGUAGCGUACCUACUAGCCUACGACGGGUACGGGUUGUGAGAGCAAGAGCCCGGAGAUGGAUUCUGAGACACGAAUCCAGGCCCUACGGGGUGCAGCAGGCGCGAAAACUUUACAAUGCUGGCAACAGCGAUAAGGGAACCUCGAGUGCCAGGUUACAAAUCUGGCUGUCGAGAUGCCUAAAAAGCAUUUCAUAGCAAGGGCCGGGCAAGACCGGUGCCAGCCGCCGCGGUAACACCGGCGGCUCGAGUGGUAACCGUUAUUAUUGGGUCUAAAGGGUCUGUAGCCGGCCGGAUAAGUCUCUUGAGAAAUCUGGCAGCUUAACUGUCAGGCUUUCAGGAGAUACUGUCUGGCUCGAGGCCGGGAGAGGUGAGAGGUACUUCAGGGGUAGGGGUGAAAUCUUGUAAUCCUUGAAGGACCACCAGUGGCGAAGGCGUCUCACCAGAACGGACCUGACGGCAAGGGACGAAAGCUAGGGGCACGAACCGGAUUAGAUACCCGGGUAGUCCUAGCCGUAAACGAUACUCGCUAGGUGUCGGCCACGGUGCGACCGUUGUCGGUGCCGUAGGGAAGCCGUGAAGCGAGCCACCUGGGAAGUACGGGCCGCAAGGCUGAAACUUAAAGGAAUUGGCGGGGGAGCAC
RNAcentral lists this ribosomal RNA (794 nucleotides) under uncultured archaeon. RNAcentral describes it as "bacterial SSU rRNA". It matches the Rfam family "Archaeal small subunit ribosomal RNA", at positions 85 to 879 of the family's 1478-position model. The record is from RNAcentral.